This 387-nucleotide long non-coding RNA is filed under the name Citrus sinensis (sweet orange). Its description in RNAcentral is "long non-coding RNA (CSIN_LNC000528)". The record is from RNAcentral. Lineage: Eukaryota; Viridiplantae; Streptophyta; Magnoliopsida; Sapindales; Rutaceae.
ACAGGUCCAAAAUUAGAUAAUAUUUCUUCUCAAAAGAAAAAGAAAGAUAAUAAAAUACUUGGCCCCCUACGCCGAUAGUCCAUCCAAAUAAUCCAAAAGUUGUGCCCGUACGCAGCGGACUCCAACUGGCAUUCAGUUAAUUAAUUGGAUUGGAAAAUUCUACUCAGGUCCGCCGCUUCUACGAGCUAUUGACUAUUGAGUUGUAAUUUUGAGGCUAUUUAGCGUGGCACCGAUUGCGGGAGUAUAAAAGGUGAUUCUAUGUGGUGGGCCCCACUGGCUGGAGAGUAAUGAGAUAAAGUAAUCAUGUCCUGAGCAGAGCUGGUGGGGUCGCCGAUUUGUCCGCCACCCACGGGGUACCCGCACCCUCAUCUCCCUCAAACCGUUUUG